This 430-nucleotide ribosomal RNA is filed under the name Pseudomonadota bacterium. RNAcentral's name for it is "Proteobacteria bacterium partial 16S ribosomal RNA". It matches the Rfam family "Bacterial small subunit ribosomal RNA", at positions 355 to 776 of the family's 1533-position model. The record is from RNAcentral. Lineage: Bacteria; Pseudomonadati; Pseudomonadota.
UGGGGAAUAUUGGACAAUGGGGGGAACCCUGAUCCAGCCAUGCCGCGUGUGUGAAGAAGGCCUUAUGGUUGUAAAGCACUUUAAGCGAGGAGGAGGGUACUGGUAUUAAUACUACCAGCUACUGGACGUUACUCGCAGAAUAAGCACCGGCUAACUCUGUGCCAGCAGCCGCGGUAAUACAGAGGGUGCGAGCGUUAAUCGGAUUUACUGGGCGUAAAGCGUGCGUAGGCGGCUAAUUGAGUCGGAUGUGAAAUCCCCGAGCUUAACUUGGGAAUUGCAUUCGAUACUGGUUAGCUAGAGUGUGGGAGAGGAAGGUAGAAUUCCAGGUGUAGCGGUGAAAUGCGUAGAGAUCUGGAGGAAUACCGAUGGCGAAGGCAGCCAUCUGGCCUAACACUGACGCUGAGGUACGAAAGCAUGGGGAGCAAACAGG